AAGUCGUAACAAGGUAACCGUAGGUGAACCUGCGGUUGGAUCAUUAAACAAAACCAAGGUGGGAGAGUCUCCUCUCCAAUCGCCACACAUUUUGUGAACCCUCAAACCCGUCCGGCGGGGGAAUGCAUGGGAGGCUUUCCGGCCUCCCGUCCAAUCCGUCAGCGCACAGGACGUCGUUCCUUGCGCCGUGGACAACCCGCCCACCCAACCCUUCCGGCCUUCUGGUCGAAGGGGUUGUUUUGCCCAACUUUUUGGAUCUUUAAGAAUUGUGAAUUGUCUCUGAGAAUGCGACGGUGCAGUUGCGCCGUCUUUUGGAAACAAAACAUUCAAAAACAACUUUUGGCAACGGAUCUCUUGGCUCUC
RNAcentral lists this unclassified non-coding RNA (363 nucleotides) under fungal sp. RNAcentral's name for it is "partial internal transcribed spacer region". The stretch from base 1 to 46 matches the Rfam family "Eukaryotic small subunit ribosomal RNA", at positions 1786 to 1831 of the family's 1831-position model. Lineage: Eukaryota; Fungi. The record is from RNAcentral.